UACGAAGGGUGCAAGCGUUAUCCGGAUUCACUGGGUUUAAAGGGUGUGUAGGCGGGCUUGUAAGUCAGGGGUGAAAUCCUACAGCUUAACUGUAGAACUGCCUUUGAUACUAUAAGUCUUGAAUAUUGUUGAGGUAGGCGGAAUACAUCAUGUAGCGGUGAAAUGCUUAGAUAUGAUGUAGAACACCGAUUGCGAAGGCAGCUUACUAAGCGAAUAUUGACGCUGAGGCACGAAAGCGUGGGGAUCAAACAGG
This 253-nucleotide ribosomal RNA is filed under the name uncultured bacterium. RNAcentral describes it as "partial 16S ribosomal RNA". It matches the Rfam family "Bacterial small subunit ribosomal RNA", at positions 524 to 776 of the family's 1533-position model. The record is from RNAcentral.